AGGGUAUCACGACAUAGAUCUUAGAGGCAAAAGGAUGACACAUCAUACCAUCUUAGGGAGCAUCUCUAUCAGUAGUAUCUCAUAGAGUAUUUGGA
This 95-nucleotide small RNA is filed under the name Arabidopsis thaliana (thale cress). Its description in RNAcentral is "ATSL289210". The record is from RNAcentral. Lineage: Eukaryota; Viridiplantae; Streptophyta; Magnoliopsida; Brassicales; Brassicaceae.